Molecule: non-coding RNA, 70 nt
Organism: Podarcis lilfordi (Lilford's wall lizard)
Lineage: Eukaryota; Metazoa; Chordata; Lepidosauria; Squamata; Lacertidae
Source: the annotation of a GenBank genome assembly
GCUGUGGCUCAGUGGCAGAGGACAUGCUCUGCAUGCAUAUGGCCCCAAGGUCCAAUCCCUGGCAUCUGCA